AUUGAACGCUGGCGGCAGGCCUAACACAUGCAAGUCGAACGGUAACAGGGAUCAGCUUGCUGAUUCGCUGACGAGUGGCGGACGGGUGAGUAAUGUCUGGGAAACUGCCUGAUGGAGGGGGAUAACUACUGGAAACGGUAGCUAAUACCGCAUAACGUCGCAAGACCAAAGAGGGGGACCUUCGGGCCUCUUGCCAUCGGAUGUGCCCAGAUGGGAUUAGCUAGUAGGUGGGGUAACGGCUCACCUAGGCGACGAUCCCUAGCUGGUCUGAGAGGAUGACCAGCCACACUGGAACUGAGACACGGUCCAGACUCCUACGGGAGGCAGCAGUGGGGAAUAGUGCACAAUGGGCGCAAGCCUGAUGCAGCCAUGCCGCGUGUAUGAAGAAGGCCUUCGGGUUGUAAAGUACUUUCAGCGGGGAGGAAGGGAGUAAAGUUAAUACCUUUGCUCAUUGACGUUACCCGCAGAAGAAGCACCGGCUAACUCCGU
RNAcentral lists this ribosomal RNA (489 nucleotides) under uncultured bacterium. RNAcentral's name for it is "partial 16S ribosomal RNA". It matches the Rfam family "Bacterial small subunit ribosomal RNA", at positions 30 to 506 of the family's 1533-position model. The record is from RNAcentral.